GGGUUGUGAGGUUAAGCGACUAAGCGUACACGGUGGAUGCCCUGGCAGUCAGAGGCGAUGAAGGACGUGCUAAUCUGCGAUAAGCGUCGGUGAGGUGAUAUGAACCGUUAUAACCGGCGAUUUCCGAAUGGGGAAACCCAGUGUGUUUCGACACACUAUCAUUAACUGAAUCCAUAGGUUAAUGAGGCGAACCGGGGGAACUGAAACAUCUAAGUACCCCGAGGAAAAGAAAUCAACCGAGAUUCCCCCAGUAGCGGCGAGCGAACGGGGAGGAGCCCAGAGCCUGAAUCAGUGUGUGUGUUAGUGGAAGCGUCUGGAAAGGCGCGCGAUACAGGGUGACAGCCCCGUACACAAAAAUGCACAUAUUGUGAGCUCGAUGAGUAGGGCGGGACACGUGGUAUCCUGUCUGAAUAUGGGGGGACCAUCCUCCAAGGCUAAAUACUCCUGACUGACCGAUAGUGAACCAGUACCGUGAGGGAAAGGCGAAAAGAACCCCGGCGAGGGGAGUGAAAAAGAACCUGAAACCGUGUACGUACAAGCAGUGGGAGCCUCUUAAUGGGGUGACUGCGUACCUUUUGUAUAAUGGGUCAGCGACUUAUAUUCUGUAGCAAGGUUAACCGAAUAGGGGAGCCGAAGGGAAACCGAGUCUUAACUGGGCGUUAAGUUGCAGGGUAUAGACCCGAAACCCGGUGAUCUAGCCAUGGGCAGGUUGAAGGUUGGGUAACACUAACUGGAGGACCGAACCGACUAAUGUUGAAAAAUUAGCGGAUGACUUGUGGCUGGGGGUGAAAGGCCAAUCAAACCGGGAGAUAGCUGGUUCUCCCCGAAAGCUAUUUAGGUAGCGCCUCGUGAAUUCAUCUCCGGGGGUAGAGCACUGUUUCGGCAAGGGGGUCAUCCCGACUUACCAACCCGAUGCAAACUGCGAAUACCGGAGAAUGUUAUCACGGGAGACACACGGCGGGUGCUAACGUCCGUCGUGAAGAGGGAAACAACCCAGACCGCCAGCUAAGGUCCCAAAGUCAUGGUUAAGUGGGAAACGAUGUGGGAAGGCCCAGACAGCCAGGAUGUUGGCUUAGAAGCAGCCAUCAUUUAAAGAAAGCGUAAUAGCUCACUGGUCGAGUCGGCCUGCGCGGAAGAUGUAACGGGGCUAAACCAUGCACCGAAGCUGCGGCAGCGACACUAUGUGUUGUUGGGUAGGGGAGCGUUCUGUAAGCCUGUGAAGGUGKMCUGUGAGGKWUGCUGGAGGUAUCAGAAGUGCGAAUGCUGACAUAAGUAACGAUAAAGCGGGUGAAAAGCCCGCUCGCCGGAAGACCAAGGGUUCCUGUCCAACGUUAAUCGGGGCAGGGUGAGUCGACCCCUAAGGCGAGGCCGAAAGGCGUAGUCGAUGGGAAACAGGUUAAUAUUCCUGUACUUGGUGUUACUGCGAAGGGGGGACGGAGAAGGCUAUGUUGGCCGGGCGACGGUUGUCCCGGUUUAAGCGUGUAGGCUGGYUUUCCAGGCAAAUCCGGAAAAUCAAGGCUGAGGCGUGAUGACGAGGCACUACGGUGCUGAAGCGACAAAUGCCCUGCUUCCAGGAAAAGCCUCUAAGCAUCAGGUAACAUCAAAUCGUACCCCAAACCGACACAGGUGGUCAGGUAGAGAAUACCAAGGCGCUUGAGAGAACUCGGGUGAAGGAACUAGGCAAAAUGGUGCCGUAACUUCGGGAGAAGGCACGCUGAUAUGUAGGUGAAGCGACUUGCUCGUGGAGCUGAAAUCAGUCGAAGAUACCAGCUGGCUGCAACUGUUUAUUAAAAACACAGCACUGUGCAAACACGAAAGUGGACGUAUACGGUGUGACGCCUGCCCGGUGCCGGAAGGUUAAUUGAUGGGGUUAGCGGUAACGCGAAGCUCUUGAUCGAAGCCCCGGUAAACGGCGGCCGUAACUAUAACGGUCCUAAGGUAGCGAAAUUCCUUGUCGGGUAAGUUCCGACCUGCACGAAUGGCGUAAUGAUGGCCAGGCUGUCUCCACCCGAGACUCAGUGAAAUUGAACUCGCUGUGAAGAUGCAGUGUACCCGCGGCAAGACGGAAAGACCCCGUGAACCUUUACUAUAGCUUGACACUGAACAUUGAGCCUUGAUGUGUAGGAUAGGUGGGAGGCUUUGAAGUGUGGACGCCAGUCUGCAUGGAGCCGACCUUGAAAUACCACCCUUUAAUGUUUGAUGUUCUAACGUGGGCCCCUUACCGGGGUUGCGGACAGUGUCUGGUGGGUAGUUUGACUGGGGCGGUCUCCUCCUAAAGAGUAACGGAGGAGCACGAAGGUUGGCUAAUCCUGGUCGGACAUCAGGAGGUUAGUGCAAUGGCAUAAGCCAGCUUGACUGCGAGCGUGACGGCGCGAGCAGGUGCGAAAGCAGGUCAUAGUGAUCCGGUGGUUCUGAAUGGAAGGGCCAUCGCUCAACGGAUAAAAGGUACUCCGGGGAUAACAGGCUGAUACCGCCCAAGAGUUCAUAUCGACGGCGGUGUUUGGCACCUCGAUGUCGGCUCAUCACAUCCUGGGGCUGAAGUAGGUCCCAAGGGUAUGGCUGUUCGCCAUUUAAAGUGGUACGCGAGCUGGGUUUAGAACGUCGUGAGACAGUUCGGUCCCUAUCUGCCGUGGGCGCUGGAGAACUGAGGGGGGCUGCUCCUAGUACGAGAGGACCGGAGUGGACGCAUCACUGGUGUUCGGGUUGUCAUGCCAAUGGCACUGCCCGGUAGCUAAAUGCGGAAGAGAUAAGUGCUGAAAGCAUCUAAGCACGAAACUUGCCCCGAGAUGAGUUCUCCCUGACUCCUUGAGAGUCCUGAAGGAACGUUGAAGACGACGACGUUGAUAGGCCGGGUGUGUAAGCGCAGCGAUGCGUUGAGCUAACCGGUACUAAUGAACCGUGAGGCUUAACCUUACAACGCCGAAG
RNAcentral lists this ribosomal RNA (2925 nucleotides) under Escherichia coli. RNAcentral's name for it is "23S ribosomal RNA". It matches the Rfam family "Bacterial large subunit ribosomal RNA". Lineage: Bacteria; Pseudomonadati; Pseudomonadota; Gammaproteobacteria; Enterobacterales; Enterobacteriaceae. The record is from RNAcentral.